This 450-nucleotide ribosomal RNA is filed under the name uncultured bacterium. RNAcentral describes it as "bacterial SSU rRNA". It matches the Rfam family "Bacterial small subunit ribosomal RNA", at positions 62 to 522 of the family's 1533-position model. The record is from RNAcentral.
UCGGACGGAUGGUUUCGACCAUCAGAGGCGCACGGGUGAGUAAGCGCGUGGGAACCGCCCUGCCAGUGGGGGAUAAGCCGAGGGACACUUCGGGUAAUACCGCAUGCGCCCCGGGAGUGAUCCUGGAGGAAAGAUUGAUCGAUGAGAGAGGGGCCCGCGUCGGAUUAGCUGGUUGGUGGGGUAACGGCCUACCAAGGCGAUGAUCGGUAGCUGGUCUGAGAGGAUGAUCAGCCACCCCGGGACUGAGACACGGCCCAGACUCCUACGGGAGCCAGCAGUGGGGAAUAUUGGACAAUGGGCGCCAAGCCUGAUCCAGCAAUUCCGCGUGAGUGAUGAAGGCCUUAGGGGGAGAAGCUCUGCCGCCGGGGANGAUGAUGNNGGGUUGUAAAAGAGAGGGCCAGGCCCAUCACGAGUUUGCGCUGUCNGCGUGAGCUAACACUAGUCAGGGUG